This 75-nucleotide transfer RNA is filed under the name bacterium. RNAcentral's name for it is "tRNA-Gly". It matches the Rfam family "tRNA". Rfam says of the family: Transfer RNA (tRNA) molecules are approximately 80 nucleotides in length. Their secondary structure includes four short double-helical elements and three loops (D, anti-codon, and T loops). Further hydrogen bonds mediate the characteristic L-shaped molecular structure. tRNAs have two regions of fundamental functional importance: the anti-codon, which is responsible for specific mRNA codon recognition, and the 3' end, to which the tRNAs corresponding amino acid is attached (by aminoacyl-tRNA synthetases). tRNAs cope with the degeneracy of the genetic code in two manners: having more than one tRNA (with a specific anti-codon) for a particular amino acid; and 'wobble' base-pairing, i.e. permitting non-standard base-pairing at the 3rd anti-codon position. The record is from RNAcentral. RNAcentral also lists the same sequence under 2 other names.
GCGGGAAUAGCUCAGUGGUAGAGCAUCACCUUGCCAAGGUGAGGGUCGCGGGUUCAAGUCCCGUUUCCCGCUCCA